CCUACGGGAGGCAGCAGUGGGGAAUAUUGGACAAUGGGGGCAACCCUGAUCCAGCCAUGCCGCGUGAGUGAUGACGGCCUUAGGGUUGUAAAGCUCUUUUCUCCGGGAUGAUAAUGACGGUACCGGAGGAAUAAGCCCCGGCUAACUUCGUGCCAGCAGCCGCGGUAAUACGAAGGGGGCUAGCGUUGCUCGGAAUCACUGGGCGUAAAGGGCGCGUAGGCGGCUGAUUUAGUCGAGGGUGAAAGCCUGUGGCUCAACCACAGAAUUGCCUUCGAUACUGGUUGGCUUGAGACCGGAAGAGGACAGCGGAACUGCGAGUGUAGAGGUGAAAUUCGUAGAUAUUCGCAAGAACACCAGUGGCGAAGGCGGCUGUCUGGUCCGGUUCUGACGCUGAGGCGCGAAAGCGUGGGGAGCAAACAGGAUUAGAUACCCUGGUAGUCCACGCCUAAACGAUGAAUGCUAGCCGUUGGU
This 471-nucleotide ribosomal RNA is filed under the name uncultured bacterium. RNAcentral describes it as "bacterial SSU rRNA". It matches the Rfam family "Bacterial small subunit ribosomal RNA", at positions 338 to 827 of the family's 1533-position model. The record is from RNAcentral.